CCUGGGGGAGCGCUUUGUCCACGUCACCCAAACGAGCCCUCAAGGACCCGUUUUUUGCUGAUGUGGACAAAGCGCUCCCCCAGGG
Gossypium hirsutum (cotton) is the source of this 85-nucleotide non-coding RNA. NCBI's taxonomy places the organism in Eukaryota, Viridiplantae, Streptophyta, Magnoliopsida, Malvales, Malvaceae. The record is from Rfam.